GAUGAACGCUAGCGGCAGGCCUAACACAUGCAAGUCGAGGGGCAGCACAGAAACAGCAAUGUUUUGGUGGCGACCGGCGGACGGGUGCGUAACGCGUAUGCAACCUACCUUUAACAGGGGGAUAACGGAGAGAAAUUUCCACUAAUACCCCAUAACAUCGAUCAAGGCAUCUUGAUUGGUUGAAAACUCCGGUGGUUAAAGAUGGGCAUGCGUUGUAUUAGGUAGUUGGUGAGGUAAUGGCUCACCAAGCCUACGAUACAUAGGGGGACUGAGAGGUUAGCCCCCCACACUGGUACUGAGACACGGACCAGACUCCUACGGGAGGCAGCAGUGAGGAAUAUUGGUCAAUGGGGGCAACCCUGGACCAGCCAUGCCGCGUGCGGGAAGACGGCUCUAUGAGUUGUAAACUGCUUUUAAACAGGGAUAAAGCACAGUAUGUAUACUGUGUUGAAGGUACUGUAAGAAUAAGGGUCGGCUAACUCCGUGCCAGCCGCCGCCGUAA
Molecule: ribosomal RNA, 502 nt
Filed under: uncultured bacterium
Lineage: Bacteria
Description: partial 16S ribosomal RNA
Rfam family: Bacterial small subunit ribosomal RNA
Source: RNAcentral